GGGUACGAGUUCACUCCAACCCCUGUGACAUACCUAUACGUUGCCUCGGCGGAUCAGCCCGCGCCCUGUAAAAAGGGACGGCCCGCCCGAAGACCCCUAAACUCUGUUUUUAGUGGAACUUCUGAGUAAAACAAACAAAUAAAUCAAAACUUUCAACAACGGAUCUCUUGGUUCUGGCAUCGAUGAAAAACGCAGCAAAAUGCGAUAAGUAAUGUGAAUUGCAGAAUUCAGUGAAUCAUCGAAUCUUUGAACGCACAUUGCGCCCGCCAGUAUUCUGGCGGGCAUGCCUGUUCGAGCGUCAUUUCAACCCUCAAGCUCAGCUUGGUGUUGGGACUCGCGGUAACCCGCGUUCCCCAAAUCGAUUGGCGGUCACGUCGAGCUUCCAUAGCGUAGUAAUCAUACACCUCGUUACUGGUAAUCGUCGCGGCCACGCCGUAAAACCCCAACUUCUGAAUGUUGACCUCGGAUCAGGUAGGAAUACCCGCUGAACUUAAGCAUAUCAAAAGCCGGGAGGAAGCAUAUCAAUAAGACGGAGGAA
This 538-nucleotide ribosomal RNA is filed under the name Fusarium chlamydosporum. RNAcentral describes it as "eukaryotic LSU rRNA". The stretch from base 148 to 301 matches the Rfam family "5.8S ribosomal RNA". Lineage: Eukaryota; Fungi; Ascomycota; Sordariomycetes; Hypocreales; Nectriaceae. The record is from RNAcentral.